UGGGGAAUAUUGCACAAUGGAGGGAACUCUGAUGCAGCGACGCCGCGUGAACGAACAAGGCUUUCGAGUCGUAAAGUUCUUUUAUAUGGGAAGAUAAUGACGGUACCAUAAGAAAAAGCCCCGGCUAACUACGUGCCAGCAGCCGCGGUAAUACGUAGGGGGCUAGCGUUGUCCGGAAUCACUGGGCGUAAAGGGUUCGCAGGCGGAAAUGCAAGUCAGGUGUAAAAGGCAGUAGCUUAACUACUGUAAGCAUUUGAAACUGCAUAUCUUGAGAAGAGUAGAGGUAAGUGGAAUUUUUAGUGUAGCGGUGAAAUGCGUAGAUAUUAAAAAGAAUACCGGUGGCGAAGGCGACUUACUGGGCUCAUUCUGACGCUGAGGAACGAAAGCGUGGGUAGCAAACAGG
RNAcentral lists this ribosomal RNA (403 nucleotides) under Fusobacteriota bacterium. Its description in RNAcentral is "Fusobacteria bacterium partial 16S ribosomal RNA". It matches the Rfam family "Bacterial small subunit ribosomal RNA", at positions 355 to 776 of the family's 1533-position model. The record is from RNAcentral. Lineage: Bacteria; Fusobacteriati; Fusobacteriota.